RNAcentral lists this ribosomal RNA (404 nucleotides) under uncultured bacterium. Its description in RNAcentral is "bacterial SSU rRNA". It matches the Rfam family "Bacterial small subunit ribosomal RNA", at positions 356 to 774 of the family's 1533-position model. The record is from RNAcentral.
GGGGAAUAUUGGGCAAUGGGCGCAAGCCUGACCCAGCAACGCCGCGUGAAGGAAGAAGGCUUUCGGGUUGUAAACUUCUUUUAUGAGGGACGAAAAAAAUGACGGUACCUCAUGAAUAAGCCACGGCUAACUACGUGCCAGCAGCCGCGGUAAUACGUAGGUGGCAAGCGUUAUCCGGAUUUACUGGGUGUAAAGGGCGUGUAGGCGGGACUGUAAGUCAGGCGUGAAAAUUAUGGGCUCAACCCAUAACCUGCGUUUGAAACUAUAGUUCUUGAGUGUCGGCGAGGCAAUCGGAAUUCCGUGUGUAGCGGUGAAAUGCAUAGAUAUCACGAGGAACUCCGAUUGCGCAGGCAGCUUACCAAGCCGUAACUGACGCUCAAGCACGAAGGCGUGGGGAUCAAACA